This 3378-nucleotide long non-coding RNA is filed under the name Lynx pardinus (Iberian lynx). Lineage: Eukaryota; Metazoa; Chordata; Mammalia; Carnivora; Felidae. The record is from RNAcentral.
CCCCCAAUUUCCACCGCGGCCAAUUCAUGGACAGGAACUACCCCAGCGCCGGCUUCGGGGACCCGCUCGGCGCCGGGGCGGGAUGGAGUUACGAGAGGUCAGCGAAAGCUAGGUAAGGAGCUGAGGGUGGCCUGGAGGAAGGGGCCAAGGGGUGGGGGCCCAGCCCGGCCGGGCCUGGCCCGCCUGGCGAAGCGUGCAUCGCAAACUCCCCUCCGGCUUGCAAGGGAGCGGCCUUCCUCGGUUUGCAACAACGCCGCCGCCCCAGUUUGCAAAUUGCAAACUCCGCCAAAGCCAGCUCCGGCAUGCAAAGGGAGAGAUGCAGCGGGAAAAUGGGGGUGCAAAACAAUUUCGGACGGAAAGGCCCUGGGAAGGUGGGAGGGACUGGCGAAGCAAGGCCUGGAUUUCCCCCCAUCCUUGGAUUCCCGGUUUGCUGAUUCCUCCUCCCUGCAUCCCGGGCUCUGCUCUUGCAUAGGUGGUGUGGAAAGGAGAAUUAGAACGCAGACCUGGGGGGAGCCCCCCCUCCCGUCCUAUUGUUCCGGGACUGCGCGAGGCCGCGCCACUCGGGCCCCCCCCCCCGAAAUUCCGCGCGCAGAGUGGGCACGGGGCCCCGCCCCCUUCCCAAGCUGGGGUUCUGUGUGUGUGAGGGGGGGGUCCUGGAAUCUGAGACACGCCCCCUUGGGCUCCCCCACCCCCAAAGGCAGAGAAUCCUAGUGGAUGGCGAGGAGCGGAGUAUUUGACCUCUUGAGUCCCAGCCGUGAAUUGGGGCCGUUGCAUGGGAAGAUUCAGAUAUUUCCCUGGUGUGUGGUUGUGUGCGUGAGCGUGGGCCCUGUUGGUGCUUAGUUGGCACCCUGCUCACCUGCGAAUCAGCCCCCUUCCUGCUUUUUAUGUCCUGCCUUCACUCUUCACCUGUCCCCAACCCCCCCACCUCCUGGGUUUCCCAGCAUGGCUGGGCAUGACCCCACAUGUGUUAGGAUUUUCCAUUUGGGACUUCUCGCUCUGUAUAUUUCCUUCCCCACGGGUGAGCUGGAUAGUCGUUUGCACACACACCUGGCUUUGCAAGGGCCCAUGCAUUUGAACCUCAACCCUGCGGGAUGGACGUUGUUCAUGUUCACACUUGUACCUGGUACUUUCCCCUAGUCCUAUCCCCUCCCCACCCCCCAUCCCAGCCUUUUGGGGAACAAUCUACCUCCUGCUCCUGACUCGGGACCCUAUAUGAGGUUCAGGGCCAUGUGUUCCCACGUGUCUGCAUUAGAGUGGGCGUCCGUGUGCACCCCUCAGGUGGGCCCCGGGGCCUUGUGUCGUCCAGGGGAUAGUGGGCUCGGUAGGAAGUCCAUGCCUUUUGAAUUUUCAACUUGGGGCACUUCCCUCUGACUCUUCACCCUCUUCUGUUUGCCUCGUCGUUGUGCAUGUCUGUUUGUAAACGUGAGACUAUCUGGGCUCUAUUUAUUGGGGCUUGAGCGGGGAAUGUUUCAUGGCUCUUUUCAUUGGGUACCCCGGUUCCCUUGGUCUUCUUUCCUUUAGGGCCCAAGGUUCCUUAGGGAUAACCCCCAGUCAGCUGUAAGAUUCCCCCCACACCCCGGUUGAUUUGCUGAGUUCCAUUCUCCUAGGGUAGCUGCAGAGGACACCCUAACAUCUCUCCCUUCCCCCCAGCUUGGUCUAUGGCAGCUCCAGGACCUCGCACCCCGAGACCGACAUCUUACACCGCCAGGCCUACGCGGCCCCCCACCCACUGCAAAGCUAUGCCACCAACCACCACCCAGCAGGUACGGCCCCCGUCCCGCCCCGCCUGGGCUGGCCCUCCCUCCCAGGCAGCUGGUUGGCUGCUCAAAGUUCCACCCCUCCUAAUUGGCCGUGCCCUGCGUCCUGGCCCGCCCCUUGCUGCCUCUCCUCUGAUUGGUUGCCUCUGAGGCUGCUGGUCCCUGCUCAAUUUCACGCUGGAUUCGUCCACCCUUGUCUCUGGCCCCGCCUCUUUCGCUCCAAUUGGCCCCGUCCCCUCAGCCCCCAAAUCCCACCUUCUCUUCCAGGCUUUUCCUCCUGUCUAUCCCACCCCAAUCCUUUCCCUCUAGGUUUGCCCAUCCUCUUGGCUCCUUGGCGCUCUGAAUUCGUUCUUCCUGAUUCCUUUUCUUUCUGAUUGGCUCUAAGUCUUUGGACCUCCCUUUUUUUCCUUGGGUCUGCCCACCACCUUAUUCUUUUCCCUGUAGUCCUACCUCUAAUGAUUCUGAUUGGUUUCCUUCUUCCUGGGUGGACCUGCAAGUAGAUUACAUUAUCCAAUUUGAUCCUUAACUUUCCUGGUUGGCUCCUUCCCUUGUCUCCUCCUUAUUUUUUUUUUUGGUUUUUGUUUUUUUUUUCUGGAUCCUCCCACUUGAACUCAAUCCCUUUAGACCUGCCCUCUUCCUACUAAGUGGCUCCAGUCAUCCCAUCUUUCCCCCUUCCUUGCUAGAAUUGCCCAAAUCCUUUUGUGUCUCCCUCCCCCUUCCACCAAGAACUCUGUCCUGUUGUGCCCACUUCCUUUGAUUCUGGGUUUUUCUACUCUUUUGUUUACCUUUCCUCUCCUGGGCUCCCUGCCCUUACGAUUGGACUACACUCCAUCCUGCUUAUUGCUUUCCUUUUUCCCCUUUGUCAUCCUCUGCCCUGUCUCCUCAGCUUGGCUGUGUCCGCUUUAUCCCCUUGGAAUCUAUCUCUUUACAUUUUCCAACCCUUUUCCCUGACCUGACUUGCUUUUGGCCUCUUCCUUUUCCCUUUCAACUUGGCCUUCUACCCCACUUUGCUGACUCUAACCCCCUUGUCCUUGGCCAGGCCUCUCUGGACUCUUCGACACUGGCCUCCACCACGCGGGCUCAGCAGGGCCCGACGCCUCCGUCAUGAACCUCAUCUCGGCCCUGGAGUCCCGGGGCCCCCAGCCUGGCCCCUCUGCCUCCUCUCUCCUCUCCCAGUUCCGCAGUCCUUCCUGGCAAACAGGUAAGCCCAGCGCCGACCCAGGAGGGCCAGGGUGGGGCUGGCAUGUGGUCCGCCCUGACCUGUGGUCUUCUCCGUCAUCCCUAGCCAUGCACACGCCAGGCCCCACGGAGCUCUUCAUUUCGGGCGCCCUGCCGGGUUCCAGCACCUUUCCAUCCUCCUCUGCCCUGUCGGCCUACCAGCACCCGGCUUCCUUCGGCAGCCGCCCCUUCCCAGUGCCCUCGUCCCUCAGCCUUCAAGAUCCCCCAUUCAGUCCCCCAGCUAACGGGCUCCUGUCCCCUCAUGAUGUGUUGCACCUAAAGCCCUCGCAAGCACCCACGGUGCCAUCCUCGCUGGGCUUCGAGCGCCUGGCAGGGGGCGGUGUCCUGGGGCCUGCUGGUCUCGGCCCGGCCCAGACCCCUCCUUACCGCCCUGGCCCUCCUG